RNAcentral lists this ribosomal RNA (506 nucleotides) under uncultured bacterium. RNAcentral describes it as "partial 16S ribosomal RNA". It matches the Rfam family "Bacterial small subunit ribosomal RNA", at positions 28 to 523 of the family's 1533-position model. The record is from RNAcentral.
GAUGAACGCUAGCUACAGGCUUAACACAUGCAAGUCGAGGGGUAACAAGAGGAAAGCUUGCUUUCUUUGUUGACGACCGGCGCACGGGUGAGUAACGCGUAUCCAACCUGCCUAUAACUAGGGAAUAACCUUGCGAAAGUAAGACUAAUACCCUAUGAGUUCCUUUGAUGACAUCAGAUUAGGACUAAAGAUUUAUCGGUUAUAGAUGGGGAUGCGUCUGAUUAGCUUGUUGGCGGGGUAACGGCCCACCAAGGCAACGAUCAGUAGGGGUUCUGAGAGGAAGGUCCCCCACAUUGGAACUGAGACACGGUCCAAACUCCUACGGGAGGCAGCAGUGAGGAAUAUUGGUCAAUGGGCGGAAGCCUGAACCAGCCAAGUAGCGUGCAGGAUGACGGCCCUAUGGGUUGUAAACUGCUUUUAUACAGGAAUAAAGUUAGCCACGUGUGGUUAUUUGUAGGUACUGUAUGAAUAAGGACCGGCUAAUUCCGUGCCAGCCGCCGCCGUAA